This 1048-nucleotide long non-coding RNA is filed under the name Marmota monax (woodchuck). The record is from RNAcentral. Lineage: Eukaryota; Metazoa; Chordata; Mammalia; Rodentia; Sciuridae.
CAAGGGCAGGAGGAGGACUCUCCCUUGUGGAAUUGGUCUCCAACUCCCAGGCAUCAAAACUGCCCUCUCCGUCUCUCAGAGAAGUUUUGUUCAGGUGAUGACUCUGGAGGGGCUUGAAAAAUAUUGAAUUUUCCCUGUUGCCAAAGGGAAAGGACAUUUCCCUCUAUCCUUUUCCUUAAAGUAUCGUAUUGAGAUAAUUUUCCCUUGCGAAUCUUUCCUGUGUCCUUUUUUGAUAGGUAUAUGUUUUAUGCUUUUGUUUUUUUAAACUUCUUUCUUUUUUGUGCUCUGGUUUUGUCUGAGGCCGAGUCUCCUCCUCCUCUCCUCCCUCUUCUUUUGCUUGCUUGUUAUUUUGGUAUGAUUUCCAAACUAGAGAAAAGUUGUGACAACACCACAAGCAUCUCCUGCAUAUGACUUUUACCCAGUUCAAUCUGUUGUUUACAUUUUGACCUACUUUUUUCAAAUCAUUUUUUAUGUCUCUACAUAUUUUUUGAGUCACUUGAGAAUUCGUUUGCAGCUAUGAUGCCCCCUGACUAUAACAGUAAUAAUAUAAUAUGCCUUUUUCUGACAGUUUUCUAAGGAGAUGUCCUUUUUCCUAGGCAUUUAUGCCUUUAUUUGUCCUUUUAUUUAUGUCAGGUUUAUAUCACUAUGAACUCAUAGUUCCUUAUCUUAUCCCAUGAAUCACAUUCUAUUACUCCCACUAUCAUUAUUUAUAGUCCCAAAUUUGGCCAUUGGGAGCCUUUUAUUCUGGCUCUUAGGUCCUUUUAAUAGAUCAUUGUCCUUUUUGAGGAUAUUUUCAUACUUUCUGGUAAACAAGAUGUCUGGGCUUAUCUUGAAACUUGCCUGCCCAAGGCUUUAAAUUUUCCCUAGGGACCCUUGGUUCAUUUUAGAGAACUGCACUUAUAAACAAAGGUCUAGCAUUAAUCAUCCUCAUUCUACUGGCUUGCUGUAUAUUCUAGACUUUCUCAGGAAAACAAAAUUAGGAAAUACGAGUGUGUGUGUGUAUGCAUAUAACAUACACACUUACCUCUAUUUUUCUUCUUAAUAUAUC